CAGUCGCCACGGUAAUACGUAGGUGGCAAGCGUUGUCCGGAAUUAUUGGGCGUAAAGCGAGCGCAGGCGGUUAGAUAAGUCUGAAGUUAAAGGCUGUGGCUUAACCAUAGUACGCUUUGGAAACUGUUUAACUUGAGUGCAAGAGAGGAGAGUGGAAUUCCAUGUGUAGCGGUGAAAUGCGUAGAUAUAUGGAGGAACACCGGUGGCGAAAGCGGCUCUCUGGCUUGUAACUGACGCUGAGGCUCGAAAGCGUGGGGAGCAAACAGGAUUAGAUACCCCCGUAGUCCCUGUCUCUUAUACA
This 301-nucleotide ribosomal RNA is filed under the name uncultured bacterium. RNAcentral's name for it is "partial 16S ribosomal RNA". It matches the Rfam family "Bacterial small subunit ribosomal RNA", at positions 509 to 808 of the family's 1533-position model. The record is from RNAcentral.